This 768-nucleotide ribosomal RNA is filed under the name Flavobacterium sp. 9AF. RNAcentral describes it as "bacterial SSU rRNA". It matches the Rfam family "Bacterial small subunit ribosomal RNA", at positions 56 to 823 of the family's 1533-position model. Lineage: Bacteria; Pseudomonadati; Bacteroidota; Flavobacteriia; Flavobacteriales; Flavobacteriaceae. The record is from RNAcentral.
UGCAGUCGAGGGGUAGAGGAAGCUUGCUUCCUUGAGACCGGCGCACGGGUGCGUAACGCGUAUGCAAUCUACCUUGUACAGGGGGAUAGCCCAGAGAAAUUUGGAUUAAUACCUCAUAGUAUCUUCGGAAGGCAUCUUCUGAUUAUUAAAGUUCCAACGGUACAAGAUGAGCAUGCGUCCCAUUAGUUAGUUGGUAAGGUAACGGCUUACCAAGACGAUGAUGGGUAGGGGUCCUGAGAGGGAGAUCCCCCACACUGGUACUGAGACACGGACCAGACUCCUACGGGAGGCAGCAGUGAGGAAUAUUGGACAAUGGGCGCAAGCCUGAUCCAGCCAUGCCGCGUGCAGGAAGACGGCCCUAUGGGUUGUAAACUGCUUUUAUACAGGAAGAAACACUCCCUCGUGAGGGAGCUUGACGGUACUGUAGGAAUAAGGAUCGGCUAACUCCGUGCCAGCAGCCGCGGUAAUACGGAGGAUCCAAGCGUUAUCCGGAAUCAUUGGGUUUAAAGGGUCCGUAGGCGGCCUUAUAAGUCAGUGGUGAAAUCUCCUAGCUCAACUAGGAAACUGCCAUUGAUACUGUAGGGCUUGAAUUUUUGUGAAGUAACUAGAAUAUGUAGUGUAGCGGUGAAAUGCUUAGAUAUUACAUGGAAUACCAAUUGCGAAAGGCAGGUUACUAACAAACGAUUGACGCUGAUGGACGAAAGCGUGGGUAGCGAACAGGAUUAGAUACCCUGGUAGUCCACGCUGUAAACGAUGGAUACUAGCUGU